AGUUCUACCUGCUUGCAAUCAAAAUGAUCAACUCAUAGAGGUAUUGAGGUCAAGUUAAACACAACAAAAAGGAGACUCAGAAGUGUCCAUAUUCAGAUCACAUUAUCCAAAUGUUCUUUAUCCUCAAUUGCAUCUUCGAAUUGAGCAUCAUUAAUGCCUAGAAUCAGAAACCUCAAGAGGCAGCCUGCACUAGAUGGGGAUUCUGCUCCCAAGUCACUGGAUAGUGUCAGAUUGGUGCACGCAGAGAGCGUCUGCGAAGCCGGCAGCAUAGGACACUGUGUGAGGCAGAGUGGUGCCUCCUGGGCUCUUGGUACCUGCUUCAGGAGCUCACGGACACGACACUUUGCUCUCUAUAAUCACCUAAGCAGUCUCCUCUUGGGAACUGAGCUGGCAGAAAAAAACUUUUGGAGUCUCUAAAACUGCCCAAAGCACUUGGGAGAAAUGGGAGGGGACAUUUCAAUGACUGAGCUGAAGUCUGCCAGGAUGAUUCACACCUGCGCGGUCAGCGAGAAAGAUUGUCCAACACCAUGUAUGUGGGGUUGUCCAAAAACAGCAGCAGGGUUUCAGAGGAAGCACUGCUAAUAGACAGAAGAAAUAUUACAACACCCCCGUCUACCGCACCCCCCUUCAAAUCACCCAAGGUCUCUUCUGCUCCGAAGUGCCCAAUGCCACUGUCCUAUCACCCUGAAGAGCUCUGGGAGAUUAACAUUCGCCAUCAACAAAACGUCCCCAUCUUUCCUUCCACAAACGUUGCCACCUAAAUCUCAUCUCCCACGUGCCCCCUACGCUUCAGCCACGAGGAAUGUCUCACUCGUUCCUGAAUAUGCCACUCUUUCAAACUCCGCGUUGUCCCAGAUGCUGUUUCUUUUCCUGGAGUGCCCUUCCUUCCUUUCUCUGCACAGUAAACGCCCACUCGUGCUGUGAGAUCCAGGCGCAAAUGCCAGCUUUCCUCUGAAAACUCCCCAUUUCUGAGAAGAGCUGCUCUUCCCCGCUCAGAGAGCCUCUGGCCUUCUGUGGACAGCACUGUCAUUAUGAUUGUAAGAGGGGCCCCAGUUGAAGUCUCUGGCCCUACUUCUGCUGCCGAGAAACACAGGAAGUCAAAGAAAUGUGCAACCUAGAGUCCUAGUAUCUUCCUUUCCAAACCUUAUGUAGAUGCCUGUCCCAAGGGUUCCAUUUCUGGUAUCUGGAGUUUCUUCCUGAUCUGUGCGUCUGAGCCCCACCAGGUGUGAGCGAUAGAGGAGGUGGACGUGAAACUCGGGCUUGCUACCUCGCGUGUCCCCACACACGAGCCCAGAGACCCUGUUAGUGAAAAGCAUAACUGGUGAAGAGAACUUCAGGUCUGGGGCUGGAGGACAAUCUUUGUGAUGACAUUAUUUUCUGCCCUAGAACUCCAAGGAAUCCAGGAAUUCUAGACUUAAAUCUGGUGCUGAGAAUGAAUGAGAAUAUAAAACAUGUCACUGAUUAACUCCAAACCAAUCCGUGGUCCUGAACAUCGUAAUGUACUAAACUUACAAUAGCAUCUGAAAAUAAAAGCCAUGAUGCCUUCUGA
This is a long non-coding RNA of Cavia porcellus (domestic guinea pig), 1549 nucleotides long. RefSeq lists it as uncharacterized. The record is from RefSeq and is a predicted model, not a curated record. NCBI's taxonomy places the organism in Eukaryota, Metazoa, Chordata, Mammalia, Rodentia, Caviidae. The transcript is spliced from 2 exons.